GUGCCACUGGUGGACCCGAUGGACCCAGCCGCGACCGCCAUUUUGGGGUCUUCCCUAAGGAUCUCCUACCGGCUUUUCGUGCCGCAGCCACCGCUCCCCGCGGCCUUGCCGGGCAGGAUGAAUGUGAUAGACCACGUGCGAGACAUGGCGGCCGCGGGGCUGCACUCCAACGUGCGGCUCCUCAGCAGCUUGUUACUUACAAUGAGUAAUAACAACCCUGAGUUAUUCUCCCCAUCUCAGAAGUACCAGCUUUUGGUGUAUCAUGCAGAUUCUCUCUUUCAUGAUAAGGAAUAUCGGAAUGCUGUGAGCAAGUAUACCAUGGCUUUACAGCAGAAGAAAGCCUUAAGUAAAACUUCAAAAGUGAGACCUUCAACUGGCAAUUCUACAUCCACUCCACAGAGUCAGUGUCUUCCAUCUGAAAUUGAAGUGAAAUACAAAAUGGCUGAAUGUUACACAAUGCUAAAACAAGAUAAAGAUGCCAUUGCUAUACUUGAUGGGAUCCCUUCAAGACAAAGAACCCCCAAAAUAAACAUGAUGCUGGCAAAUUUGUAUAAGAAGGCUGGUCAGGAGCGCCCUUCAGUCACCAGCUAUAAGGAAGUGCUGAGGCAGUGCCCAUUAGCCCUUGAUGCCAUUCUAGGUUUGCUGUCCCUAUCUGUAAAAGGUGCAGAGGUGGCAUCAAUGACAAUGAAUGUCAUCCAGACCGUGCCUAACUUGGACUGGCUGUCUGUGUGGAUCAAAGCAUAUGCUUUUGUGCAUACUGGUGACAACUCAAGAGCAAUCAAUACCAUCUGUUCACUAGAGAAAAAGUCAUUAUUACGAGAUAACGUGGAUCUACUGGGAAGCUUAGCAGAUCUGUACUUCAGAGCUGGAGACAAUAAAAACUCUGUCCUCAAAUUUGAACAAGCACAGAUGUUGGAUCCUUAUCUAAUAAAAGGAAUGGAUGUAUAUGGCUACCUCCUGGCACGAGAAGGGCGGCUGGAGGAUGUGGAGAAUCUUGGCUGCCGCCUUUUCAAUAUUUCUGAUCAGCAUGCAGAACCCUGGGUGGUCUCUGGGUGUCAUAGCUUCUAUAGCAAACGCUACUCUCGGGCCCUCUAUUUAGGAGCAAAGGCCAUUCAGCUGAACAGUAAUAGUGUCCAAGCUUUGCUACUUAAGGGAGCAGCACUCAGGAACAUGGGCAGAGUCCAAGAAGCAAUAAUCCACUUUCGGGAGGCUAUACGGCUUGCACCUUGUCGCUUAGACUGUUAUGAAGGUCUCAUCGAAUGUUACUUAGCCUCAAACAGUAUUCGUGAAGCAAUGGUAAUGGCUAACAAUGUUUACAAAACUCUAGGAGCAAAUGCACAGACUCUUACCCUUUUAGCCACUGUUUGUCUCGAAGACCCAGUGACACAGGAAAAAGCCAAAACUUUAUUAGAUAAAGCCCUGAACCAAAGGCCGGAUUACAUUAAGGCUGUGGUGAAAAAAGCAGAACUACUUAGCAGAGAGCAGAAAUACGAAGAUGGGAUUGCUUUGCUGAGGAACGCACUAGCUAAUCAGAGUGACUGUGUCCUGCAUCGGAUCCUAGGAGAUUUCCUUGUAGCUGUCAAUGAGUAUCAGGAAGCAAUGGACCAGUAUAGUAUAGCACUAAGGUUCCAGGUGGAAGAGGCAAAUGAAGCUACAUCUUUAGAGCACCUGACAUAGAAUUGGGAAUACUCUUAGUCCACAUCAAAGAAUGGAAAGAGUUUGACCUGGAGAGUGCUGAAGAUCUCAACUGGUAUUUCCUGGUCCAAAUAUUAAGAAACCUAAGAGUGGGUUGGAGGGUCCCAGAAGCUGCGAGCCUGACUUCAAAGGGCUCCUGGAGGCCUCACUGCAGCUCCCUGUGGGUGGGAACAACUCCCAUGACCAGUCUCGGGCCCAUGCCCAGGCCAGCUCGGCCAGCUCCAAAGCUGCAAAACUGCCUGCUGCCCAGGACCGAAUUCUCUGCUAACAGGCAGUGAAACCUGACUCAACAAAUCUUCACCUUGGCCUUUGGGGGCAGGGGUCACAUCAGGCCCGCCAGGAAUACCUGGCAUUGGGAGGGCCUGUAGAGGACCCCAUCCAGUAUAGUGUUACAUCAGUCACUGCGUGUCCUUAGGCUCCUCUUGGCUGUGAGUUGCUGAUUUUCCUUGUUUUUGAUGACUCGUCGGUUGUUAAGGAAUGUGUCAGGUAGGAGUGGACCUGCUGCUGGGUUGUAUAUGAAGAGCAGCUGUAAAUUCACCCAGUUGUUCUGCAAUGUGAGGGCCCAUUCUCCACACCUUAGGUAAGAUGUCAGUUCCCCUUCUCCCCCGAAUUAAACUUUCCUAAGAACCAGAUGUUCCUUCUAAUGGAUCCGAUAUAUGACAGUUGCUUUUUUGUUUACUCCUAGGCAUUUUCCCUCGUCUGAUGGCUAUGACUCUCCAGAACAGUGCUAGGUAGUGGGCAGUGGUGGAUGAACGAGCUGCUGGAGUGGUGCCCCAGGGACGGGAUUGUCAUCUUCUGGGCAAAGCUGUAUCCGAAAGGCCAGGUGAGCAUGGAGUGCUAAAAAGCAGAACACUCUAAUGGGAUGGGCCACAGGCCCAUAGGGAAAGUGUUUCAGGCAGGAGCUGCCUGGCAACACCUGCACGGUGGGGCUGAGGAGGAUGCUGCCCCAACCAGUUACUGAUGGCGGCAAAAGCACUGCCUUCCUGUUCGGUGAGGAGGGGACUGGGUGGCUGCCGCUCACUGCAGGAUGGAAAUCUGAGGCCAUGGGUGUGCCCACAGAAAGACAAUUGCUGAGGAGGCCUGCUGUGGAGCAGACACAGGGACUCAGCUGUCUGGGUUGAAGGAAGUGGGUGCCUAAACCACCUCCGUGGGCUGGAUAGGCCUGAAGCUGAGAAACUACCAGGCAACACCAGCCCAGGGCCAUCUGGGGCUGUGCAUGUCUCCCAUAGCAGCCCACAGCAUUCAACUUAUUUUGUAAAGGCCACUAAAUCAAGGAACUGAGUCAGUGAAAGUUGACUGGUUAGUUUGGUUUCCAUUGAAUAACACACCACCGAACAAACUCAGACAUCCUGUUUUGGUUUGUAGCCAAGACAUACUCCUGGCAUUUGAUCCACUCGGCCCUUUUCUUUUUACCACUCAUGAUGCUAAAAUGGGCAAAACUACCCCCUACAUUAUUUGCCAAGCAAACCAACCUCCCUUUUCUCUGAGAAAGGACUCUGCAUUCAGUCAGUCUCCACCAAGCACUUGACCUCCUGACACUCAGACCUCUGGAUUUGGCAGCAGCACCUCCUCAUCCUGCCUGAUACCUGCUAACUUUCCCCCCAAACGGCCAGCCCUUGUAUCACAUCUUCUGGUCCAGCAACCAGGGCCCAAACACCUUCACAAGAACACUCAGGGCCUCACAGGGAGGAAGCUGCCAACCCACCGAACACAAGGUGCUUCCUAGGCCUCCUUCACCCUGGCUGAUAAGGCUGGUUGACUGCUGCCAAGCAGAGCCCUGCCCUAAUGACUGUGCUUGAAUGUACCCUGCAGAGAGAAGACAAGUCUCAGCUGCAAAGGAUGUGGACCCAGAAGAUGAAGAAAAGUGGUCUAUUUAAGAGGAACCUACGGAUACGUGAGUUCACUGAUUCAGUUACUUGCUUUCACUAGCUUUUUAAUGAACCAAACUUCUGGGAUGAGUCCUUGCAGCUAACAAAGAUCAAAAGAAUCACGAUUUUUUGUGAACCUUCUCUCAGCACUAGCAAAGGCACAGCUCCCUCACAAAGCCUCGGUCUCACCAAAUCAGAAUGGGCCUCUCUUCCUCCAGGCCCUCCCCAAACCAGUAUCUGGCUAUGCCACUAUCUGAGGCCGCUGGCACGGGUAGCACACAUAUGCCCCCUGCUCUCAGGGACAGCCACAGAGCACAGCAGUGCCUGACACAUGGGGCUUAUUCACUAGUGUCACACAGCUAGCUCACUUGGUGGUAGUCAUCUUCAGGUUAAAGCAUCUGAAUUCCAGGGAAUACUCACGUUAGUUGAUGGAUGUUGGAAGGCAUUGGAGGAAAACACCACAGUUAGGGCUGUUAAUGACUUAUACACUGUUGGUAAGACUGAUCUGGAACAUGCAUCAUAGUACGGUGGUGGUGGUUAGUGCCACAUUCAAAUAAAAAUAGUUCUAUACAAUA
RNA transcript from Myotis myotis, 4138 nucleotides. It is a transcript of the gene named anaphase promoting complex subunit 7, with no coding region annotated. The transcript is spliced from 15 exons. The record is from RefSeq and is a predicted model, not a curated record. Lineage: Eukaryota; Metazoa; Chordata; Mammalia; Chiroptera; Vespertilionidae.